CGAGCGGCGGACGGGUGAGUAAUGCCUAGGAAUCUGCCUGGUAGUGGGGGAUAACGCUCGGAAACGGACGCUAAUACCGCAUACGUCCUACGGGAGAAAGCAGGGGACCUUCGGGCCUUGCGCUAUCAGAUGAGCCUAGGUCGGAUUAGCUAGUUGGUGAGGUAAUGGCUCACCAAGGCGACGAUCCGUAACUGGUCUGAGAGGAUGAUCAGUCACACUGGAACUGAGACACGGUCCAGACUCCUACGGGAGGCAGCAGUGGGGAAUAUUGGACAAUGGGCGAAAGCCUGAUCCAGCCAUGCCGCGUGUGUGAAGAAGGUCUUCGGAUUGUAAAGCACUUUAAGUUGGGAGGAAGGGCAGUUACCUAAUACGUGAUUGUUUUGACGUUACCGACAGAAUAAGCACCGGCUAACUCUGUGCCA
This 422-nucleotide ribosomal RNA is filed under the name Pseudomonas sp. R10.15. Its description in RNAcentral is "bacterial SSU rRNA". It matches the Rfam family "Bacterial small subunit ribosomal RNA", at positions 92 to 510 of the family's 1533-position model. The record is from RNAcentral. Lineage: Bacteria; Pseudomonadati; Pseudomonadota; Gammaproteobacteria; Pseudomonadales; Pseudomonadaceae.